This 253-nucleotide ribosomal RNA is filed under the name uncultured bacterium. RNAcentral describes it as "partial 16S ribosomal RNA". It matches the Rfam family "Bacterial small subunit ribosomal RNA", at positions 524 to 776 of the family's 1533-position model. The record is from RNAcentral.
UACGUAGGGUGCAGGCGUUAAUCGGAAUUACUGGGCGUAAAGCGUGCGCAGGCGGUUUCUUAAGUCAGAUGUGAAAGCCCCGGGCUUAACCUGGGAACUGCGUUUGAAACUGGGAGACUUGAGUGUGGCAGAGGGGGGUGGAAUUCCACGUGUAGCAGUGAAAUGCGUAGAUAUGUGGAGGAACACCGAUGGCGAAGGCAGCCCCCUGGGUUAACACUGACGCUCAUGCACGAAAGAGUGGGGAGCAAACAGG